The sequence is a ribosomal RNA, 207 nucleotides long. It matches the Rfam family "Bacterial small subunit ribosomal RNA", at positions 568 to 774 of the family's 1533-position model.
UGCGUAGGCGGCUUUGUAAGUCAGAUGUGAAAUCUAUGGGCUUAACCCAUAAACUGCAUUUGAAACUACAGAGCUUGAGUGAAGUAGAGGCAGGCGGAAUUCCCUGUGUAGCGGUGAAAUGCGUAGAGAUAGGGAGGAACACCAGUGGCGAAGGCGGCCUGCUGGGCUUUAACUGACGCUGAGGCACGAAAGCGUGGGUAGCAAACA